RNAcentral lists this ribosomal RNA (392 nucleotides) under uncultured bacterium. Its description in RNAcentral is "bacterial SSU rRNA". It matches the Rfam family "Bacterial small subunit ribosomal RNA", at positions 29 to 418 of the family's 1533-position model. The record is from RNAcentral.
AGUGAACGCUGGCGGCAGGCCUAAUACAUGCAAGUCGAACGGCAGCACAGUGGAGCUUGCUCCAUGGUGGCGAGUGGCGGACGGGUGAGGAAUACAUGGGAAUCUGCCCAGUCGUGGGGGAUAACGUAUGGAAACGUACGCUAAUACCGCAUGCGCCCUUCGGGGGAAAGUCGGGGACCGCAAGGCCUGACGCGAUUGGAUGAGCCCAUGUUCGAUUAGCUAGUUGGCGGGUAACGGCCCACCAAGGCGACGAUCGAUAGCUGGUCUGAGAGGAUGAUCAGCCACACUGGAACUGAGACACGGUCCAGACUCCUACGGGAGGCAGCAGUAGGGAAUAUUGGACAAUGGGCGCAAGCCUGAUCCAGCCAUGCCGCGUGAGUGAAGAAGGCCCU